CUCAUCUUUCUUCCUCAUCCCGCCUACCUUUUGUGACUUAUACUCUUAGAGGAAGAGGAACUUUAAAUUAUUUUAGGACCCAGGAGAGGCAGAGACACACACCUGGACAACCCUGCAACAAAAACCUAAAACUACAUUUCAGGACGUCCGUGCUGCAUUCUUUGCUCUUUUUCCCCUCUUUCCUGCCAUGACCACCCCUGCAUCCCUCUUCCCUGCCCCCCGUGGCAUCGACCUCAGCCUGCCCACCUGCGGAGAGACGCAGUGCAACAGCCACGGUGCCUGUGUGCUACCUCCGGGUGGAGGGGCCAACCUGUUGUGUGACUGUGACCUGGGCUACCAGGGCGAGUUCUGCGAGGACACGGUGAACGGGGCGUUGAGUGUCCCUCUGACCCUGAGUGUGCUGGGCGUCAUCAUUGGCGUUGUGAUCCUGGCUUUCAUCAUCGCCAAGUUCAGGCAAUUUCAGAAGAAGAAACGCAGGAGAAAUGCUGCAAAGAAAUUUGGGUUAGACGUUGUUGUGUAAUGAGAAGAAUCUCCUUCUAUCUGAGGUCAACCAUGUUGGAUUGCAGUCCAGUUUGUUCAAGUAUGAAUCUUACAGAAAUGGAAUCAGGUACACACUUGUCUUGGCACAAUGUCUGACUUCAACUGUUUGACUUGUGCUGCAGCAUCAACUAAAACUCUAAUACUGAACUGAUCAACCGAACUUUUACUGCCUAGAAAGCCACUGACUUGUGAUUCACUGAUGUUUCACAGUUUUUUUGGUCAUCGUUAUAGUGUAAAUGUGUUAUUUGACUGAAAGUUGCAAUGUGUCUAAAGUCUUUUUAAAAGAAGUUCCUGAUUUUAUUAACAUAUGCGGGUGUCUCAGAAUCACAGCUGAUCGUCUUGUCAGAUUUCACUGAUUCAUCAAGUAGAGACUUGAUUGUUAUUUUUGUUAUAUUAUUUUGUACACCACUGACUGAAUUAAUGUUUUUGUGACUCUUUGUCGUUGUUAACCACAAGUUUCUUUCUCUGAAGUGAUGAGUCAGACUGACAAAAGAGACAAUAAUGAGUUUGGAUAUGCGCCUCAGUUUAUGUGCAACAAUGUGGAGAAUCACAAUCACUGGUGAUUUCUGUUUUUACUACUGCACACAACACCUGGCGUCUGAUACUGUAGGUAGAUACAUAACUGUACCAGCAGAUCACUGAUCCUGGCAGAAACAUAUGUUUAUGACGUGAAGUGACCAAGAGAAAAGAUUGUGCUUUUUAUUUCUGCCACGGAAAACGUGUUAUUGACCGACCGAAACCACAACGUGUGCACACACCUUCUCAGAUCCUGUUCUGCUUCAUUUUAAAAUUCCUCUUCUGCCAUAAAUGUUCCACAGGUAAACAUAGGGCUGGUUUUUUGUCUCAUUUAUUCGUUAUAAAUAUGUUGUUUGAUAUUUUUAGUUGCUUUGUGUGCCUAGUGAUGCUGUAUAUUUAUCUUUGUAUGACAUUUUUGAAUCCGUCUGUAUAGAACUAACUUAAAGUGGAGCGAGCAACAAUAAGUCUUUUAUAAAACGUAUUUCUUUGACCCUGCUGUUGUCAAGGAUACCUUUUCUUUUGCUUUCCUUCAUUGACAUGUAUACUUUAUUAUUUAGGCUGAAGACAAUACUGGACUUUAAGUUAGUUUGGGCAGCUGUGUUUUAUUUUCAAUAUACAACUAAUACACAUGUAUGGUCUAUGGUCAUUUAAAACUCAUUAUUCAGUUGUUCCAGGGGAAGGGUUCACAGUUUGUGUGUGUUGUGUUUACACUGAAAACUGUUAAAACUUUCUCUGGAAUCCAGUUACACAAUCUUCAGUGUUUAAUUAACUCAACAAAAACCAGGUGAUGAAAUUAAAUUAUGAAAGUUGACCACAGUGGUAUUUUUAUACAAGACGGCAUCGGCAUCUGUUUCAUCAAGGAAGAGAAGGGAUCUGCCCCGAGGGUGAAACCAUGUCGCCGCCUGUCUUAUUAUCAAUGAGCCAUCUUUGCAUGUUUGUUUUGCAGGAGGACCGCAGUGAAAUAUGAUGGAAAGUUAGUGGUAUGUUGACGCAGUAAAUGUCGACCAAUCACGAGUCAUUCUCAUCUUUCCUCACAUUUUUAUAGCAUUGAAUAAAUCAUUAAAGCCAAGAAUUCAAAUGAGGAAUGACCUCAAACAAUAAAACGAUCUUUGA
This is a non-coding RNA of Paralichthys olivaceus (Japanese flounder), 2169 nucleotides long. The record is from RefSeq and is a predicted model, not a curated record. Lineage: Eukaryota; Metazoa; Chordata; Actinopteri; Pleuronectiformes; Paralichthyidae.